GCCUAGCCAUAAACUUAGAUAGCAGUAUACCACCUAUCCGCCAGAGAACUACAAGCAAAAUACUUAAAACUCAAAGGACUUGGCGGCAUUCCAUAUCAACCUAGAGGAGCCCGUCCAAUAAUCGACACUACUCGCUCAACCCAACCAUUUUUGGCCACUCCAGCCUAUAUACCGCCGUCGCCAGCUAACCUUGUGAAAGAAAAGAAGUAAGCACAAUAGCCCUCACUAAAACGUCAGGUCAAGGUGUAGCUAAUAAAAUGGAUGUGAUAGGCUACAUUUUCUACUAUAGAAAAAACGGAAAAUACAAUGAAACUUUGUAAUAGAAGGUGAAUUUAGAAGUAAACUAAGAAAGAGUCCUUAUUUUAACAUCGCCCUGGAAUGCGCACACACCGCCCGUCACCCUCCUCAAACAACCUAGAUGAGGCAAGUCGUAACAUGGUAAGCGUACUGGAAAGUGCGCUUGGACUA
Molecule: ribosomal RNA, 468 nt
Filed under: Cordylus tropidosternum
Lineage: Eukaryota; Metazoa; Chordata; Lepidosauria; Squamata; Cordylidae
Description: partial 12S small subunit ribosomal RNA
Rfam family: Bacterial small subunit ribosomal RNA
Source: RNAcentral